This 231-nucleotide ribosomal RNA is filed under the name uncultured bacterium. Its description in RNAcentral is "partial 16S ribosomal RNA". It matches the Rfam family "Bacterial small subunit ribosomal RNA", at positions 103 to 334 of the family's 1533-position model. The record is from RNAcentral.
CGGGUGCGUAACGCGUAUACAAUCUACCUUUUACAGGGGGAUAGCCCAGAGAAAUUUGGAUUAAUACCCCAUGGCAUAUGUUUGUGGCAUCACGGGCAUAUUAAAGAUUCAUCGGUAAGAGAUGAGUAUGCGUUCUAUUAGCUAGUAGGUGCGGUAAUGGCGCACCUAGGCUACGAUAGAUAGGGGCCCUGAGAGGGGGAUCCCCCACACUGGUACUGAGACACGGACCAG